This 123-nucleotide small nucleolar RNA is filed under the name Pteropus vampyrus (large flying fox). RNAcentral's name for it is "Small nucleolar RNA SNORA25 (ENSPVAG00000028026.1)". Lineage: Eukaryota; Metazoa; Chordata; Mammalia; Chiroptera; Pteropodidae. The record is from RNAcentral.
AGGCCAUUUCGAAGAGAGCCCACGGGACCAAACCCAGGCGCUCAUAACGCUGACCAAAGACUGAAGUUCCACAGGACGUAGUGGUCACUCAGUAGUACAGUGUCUUCCUGAGGACGCACAAAA